CCUACGGGCGGCAGCAGUGAGGAAUCUUGGUCAAUGGGCGCGAGCCUGAACCAGCCAAGUAGCGUGAAGGAUGACUGCCCUACGGGUUGUCAACUUCUUUUAUAAAGGAAUAAAGUGAGGCACGUGUGCCUUUUUGUAUGUCCUUUAUGAAUAAGGAUCGGCUAACUCCGUGCCAGCAGCCGCGGUAAUACGGAGGAUCCGAGCGUUAUCCGGAUUUCUUGGGUUUAAAGGGGGCGUAGAUGGGUUGUUAAGUCAGUUGUGAAAGUUUGCGGCUCAACCGUAAAAUUGCAAUUGAUACUGGCAGGCUUGAGUACAGUUGAGGUAGGCGGAAUUCGUGGUGUAGCGGUGAAAUGCGUAGAUAUCACGAAGAACACCGAUUGCGAAGGCAGCUUACUAAACUGCCACUGACAUUGAUGCUCGAAAGUGUGGGUAGCAAACAGGAUUAGAUACCCGAGUAGUC
This 460-nucleotide ribosomal RNA is filed under the name uncultured bacterium. RNAcentral's name for it is "partial 16S ribosomal RNA". It matches the Rfam family "Bacterial small subunit ribosomal RNA", at positions 338 to 795 of the family's 1533-position model. The record is from RNAcentral.